This 535-nucleotide ribosomal RNA is filed under the name uncultured bacterium. RNAcentral's name for it is "bacterial SSU rRNA". It matches the Rfam family "Bacterial small subunit ribosomal RNA", at positions 46 to 573 of the family's 1533-position model. The record is from RNAcentral.
GCUUACACAUGCAAGUCGAGCGGUAACAUUUCUAGCUUGCUAGAAGAUGACGAGCGGCGGACGGGUGAGUAACGCGUAGGAAUCUGCCUAGUAGUGGGGGACAACAUGUGGAAACGCAUGCUAAUACCGCAUACGCCCUAUGGGGGAAAGGAGGGGAUCUUCGGACCUUUCGCUAUUAGAUGAGCCUGCGUGAGAUUAGCUAGUUGGUGGGGUAAAGGCCUACCAAGGCGACGAUCUCUAGCUGGUCUGAGAGGAUGAUCAGCCACACUGGGACUGAGACACGGCCCAGACUCCUACGGGAGGCAGCAGUGGGGAAUAUUGGACAAUGGGCGCAAGCCUGAUCCAGCCAUGCCGCGUGUGUGAAGAAGGCCUUAGGGUUGUAAAGCACUUUCAGGAGUGAGGAAGGGCGUAUAGUUAAUACCUGUAUGUUUUGACGUUAACUCCAGAAGAAGCACCGGCUAACUCUGUGCCAGCAGCCGCGGUAAUACAGAGGGUGCGAGCGUUAAUCGGAAUUACUGGGCGUAAAGCGCGCGUA